CAGACACUCUGUGAUAUGCCAUUUGAGCAGAAGAGUCACAUGGUCAGUGGCUUUCCCUGAGUAUGUAGGCCUACACAUUCCUCUCCUCAGAGUAAUAUCAGCAAAAACAACACUCAGCCUUUUAAUUAGUGGUGUUUUUAACGAUGCACAUUCCCUGUGGCACAGUUAAGAAGCAUGUUAAUGUCAGUGUGGCUGAUGGAGACAGCAUCUCUUUUCUAUGCCCUCCCGCUAGCUAAUGAGACAGACAGCCUAUUACCGCGGGACACUAAGACCAGGCCACACUAUUACAACCAUCCAUGGCUGUAAUUUAGCACACCCGACAGUGCUUGACCAUACCUGACCAUACUCAACAAUCUCUGAUAAUACCAGUUACAGCUUUUAAAAAUGUCAACAACAAAAAAAACCCAAGACUUGUACUUAAACACAGCUGCGAUAUUUUUCGCUAAUUCAAACACAUUCUGCGAGAGUAUGAUUGAAGUUUGACUGCAGCUGCGCCUCUCCACAUCCCGGCGUCGCUAUGCGCUGUAAUGAAUUUCACCGCUGUUGUUGCUAAGUGUGCAAAGAGUGAUGACGUUCUUGUCACUUCUAUCUGGAACUUCGGGCCCAUUGUGUUUUCGUAACAACUCAUCAGCUGAUAUUUGCGCGCUGCGCCUCGUUUAAAGGUGUCGCGGAAAUCUUAUUAAGAGCGCAGUGGAGCGGUCAUGGCCGAAAGCGAUGUCGGAGUGCAGAGAGACGGCUGAUUUGAUUUGAAACGAACUGAUUGAAGAUGAACUGAAAUUCAGCGGAGGAAUCACACUUGGGCAUCCUCCAUCCUGGCAGUCAGAAACGAAACGGUGAACUUCACUUGUUAAUAGACGAGCACGCUAUAGAGAGACAUGCACAGAUGUGCUGCUGUGUACUUAAAACGAGUGUGUUUACAAGAUGUCUGCAUUGUGUCACAGUCAGCGAAAAACCCAUAUGACAUUUAGAAAUGCUUUCUGCUUCCCACAGUUAGUGUAGUUCAUAUUGAUAUUAAUAUUCAUAGUCAUCAUGCAUAUUAAUACUGUUUUUUUUAAAACUGUUUAUAUUCCUGUUAAUAUACGUGAAUGAGAGUGGUUCAUAUAGUUCAGAUUAAUAUUUAUAUGAGGUUAUGGUUGUACUUUGUAUUGUGUAUACAUUAAUGGGAGAGGUUUAUAUAGGUUAUAUUCAUAUUCAUAUCCCUGUUCAGUAAUUAACCUUAGUUUUGGCCUUGAUUAUGGCAAGUGCAGUUGUAUUAUUUUCACAGUUAAGCUCAUCAUGCUGUCAUAAUAUAUGAGUAUAAUCUAAAAGCAGUAAAUAAAUCAAUUAUACUAUCUCUAA
Long non-coding RNA from Anguilla rostrata (American eel), 1338 nucleotides. RefSeq lists it as uncharacterized. The transcript is spliced from 2 exons. Lineage: Eukaryota; Metazoa; Chordata; Actinopteri; Anguilliformes; Anguillidae. The record is from RefSeq and is a predicted model, not a curated record.